UACAGAGGGUGCGAGCGUUAAUCGGAAUUACUGGGCGUAAAGGGUGCGUAGGCGGUCUUUUAAGUCGGAUGUGAAAUCCCUGGGCUUAACCUAGGAAUUGCAUACGAUACUGCAAGACUUGAGUACAGUAGAGGAUAGUGGAAUUCCACGUGUAGCGGUGAAAUGCGUAGAUAUGUGGAGGAACACCAGUGGCGAAGGCGGCUAUCUGGACUGAUACUGACGCUGAGGCACGAAAGCGUGGGGAGCAAACAGG
This 253-nucleotide ribosomal RNA is filed under the name uncultured bacterium. Its description in RNAcentral is "partial 16S ribosomal RNA". It matches the Rfam family "Bacterial small subunit ribosomal RNA", at positions 524 to 776 of the family's 1533-position model. The record is from RNAcentral.